Pelobates cultripes (western spadefoot toad) is the source of this 556-nucleotide non-coding RNA. Lineage: Eukaryota; Metazoa; Chordata; Amphibia; Anura; Pelobatidae. The record is from the annotation of a GenBank genome assembly.
CCACAACCCGGUAGAUAGGGGAGGUUGACGUGGGGCGACCGGUGCGAAUGGACGCGGGAGGGAUGUUCGCUGCUGGGGGAGAAGCGAAUGGGGAAUGACGGGACGUUCUGGAUUAAGGAACUGCUAUCUUAAUCGUGACACUUGUAAAUAUGUUAAUUUGUUAAUUUGAUGUUAAUGCUUAAAUGCCUUGAAUAUGAAUACACAAUACAUGUUAGCUGCUGCCACUCACUCAGCUAUGAUUUUGGGGGUCGCGGCGGAGAGGAGAAUCCCAUGUAUACUCUUAGACACCUUAUCUGGGCGGAGCUCGAGUCGCGUUCCCUAACACAUACACUCGCGCUAAGAGGUCUGUGGCCAGGCUACGGGGUGUCUCGUCUCUUGGGCUGGUACCAGAGUGGGCGCCUGUUAGCGCUGGUCACUGCGCGAGACCUCCCCCUACUCUGUAGAGGGAUUGCGGAUCUGGGACAUUACCGGAUUCCGAGGGGAUACCUACACUGAAGGGUAAACACCUCCUUUUCGAUCUUAAAUCUCACACAACACAUUCAGCUCCAUACUCGGG